AUAUUAUAAGAGGACAUGCUUAUACCUUCUAAGUUUAUUAAAGUAAGUUUAUUUGUAAGAUAUGUGAAUGGGGUCAUCCUGUAUCUGACAAUAUUUAUUGAUAAAACAAUAUUGAUAUCAUAUUUUUAAGAUGCUUUUAUUUUAUUUUGUUCUUAUCUAUUGAGCACAUCUUGAUUAUCUAUUUAUAUUUUCUGAUAUACAAUAAGUACCUCUUGAUGAUACUUUUGCCUUGUGUUGUGUUACAGCUACCAUGCUAAACUAGAUAACAUGUUAGUUUUUGAUUGUGUAUCGAAUAUAUAAACGAUUUAAGCAAUAUGAAAAGUGCAUUUUUUAUUGCAUUACGCCUUGACAAAUUGGUGUAUGUGAAAAUUUUCAUGUCAUGUGAUGAUCUUUUACGGAAGAAGCAACUUUGCUACAUCCUUGCUCACCAUCGUAAAACGUUUGAGCUUGAUAAAUAUAUGUGUAGUGAAUGAAGAUUUAAAAGGAUUGCAGUUUAUUAUUGGCAACAAUAAACUAAUUGAGGGUUAUUUUACCAUGCUCGUGAUAUUGAUGUGAUGGAGCCUAAAUCCCUUGCGGACAUUUACAAGGCUCAUUUGGUUGAUGAUCGUGGUGUUGCUGGAACAAUUGUUCUCUCAGCAAGACACAAAU
Molecule: long non-coding RNA, 648 nt
Organism: Ipomoea nil (Japanese morning glory)
Lineage: Eukaryota; Viridiplantae; Streptophyta; Magnoliopsida; Solanales; Convolvulaceae
Exons: 4
Source: RefSeq, a predicted model, not a curated record